Molecule: long non-coding RNA, 4625 nt
Filed under: Gossypium barbadense (sea-island cotton)
Lineage: Eukaryota; Viridiplantae; Streptophyta; Magnoliopsida; Malvales; Malvaceae
Description: long non-coding RNA (GBAR_LNC004922)
Source: RNAcentral
AAUCCAGACUCAUCCAAUUGGAGUAAUAUUGCUGGAACAUACGGAUACAUUGCACCAGGUAAUUUUCAUUGUACUUCCAUAGAUGAAAUGGCAUAUAGGAUAAUAUUUGUCAUCAACUAUUUAUCUUUUUCUUUGCAGAGCUUUCCUACACCAUGCAAGUUACUGAAAAAUGUGAUGUGUAUAGUUUUGGUGUGCUGGCAUUGGAAUUGAUAGUUGGGGCAUAUCCGGGUGAAUUUCUCUCUAAUCUAUCAAUUGUAACAGCAGAAAGCAUUCCACUAAACAAUGUGUUGGAUCAAAGGCUUUCGCCUCCUCCGCCAGAAGUUAUGAACAAACUCGUAUUCAUCCUGAAGUUGGCCGUUUCAUGUUUAGAUAACAAUCCAAAAUCUAGGCCAACCAUGCACACUGUUUCUCAGCUCGUGUUCGACCACAUCUAGUCCCUUGUAGGUCCCUUUGAUCUUCAUCUAAGAUACCACCUUGGAAAUGUUUGGUAUUGCUCUAAUGUUGUUCCUUUUAGCUUUUGUGUAGUAAUCAUGGGUGAAUGGAUUAGCAUUUUUAUACCCGUAAUUUCCUUUUCCAUGAAAAUUAAUACUAGCUUGUUGGUAGUGCAACAAGAGUUGUUUCCGAUAUUUGUCUGUAACAGUUUAUCAUAAAUUAUAUUCUAGUAUUAUCUUUUCAAAGGUUUCACCCUCUAAUAUGAAUUUGGUCGUUCAAAGAGCUAAGCCUUUCAAAGCUUUCAACACCCUCCCUUUGCUAUUAAUCCAUGUCCUAUUGUCUCAUAUUAGACCUACAUCAAUUAAAGGAUUCGCUAAUCCAUUUAUUAAUGCUCUCAAAUUUUAAUGUCUUCCCCAUUCUUUUUCUCUUAAGGGUCAUACCUAUAUCAACUGCCACUUUUGUAUGUUUAAUUAUUUGAAGCUUUAAUUAGAUAUGCAAAAUUGGCUAAAACCGAUUAUAUAAAAAUUAUAUGAUCACUGUAAAUUUGUUUUUAUAAUUCAUACUGUUAUUUUAAUGUUUUGAUAUAGGGUCCCACUUGUUUUGGAAUAAAUUAUUUCUGAAAAUAUAUGAAUAGUUUAUUCAUUUUUGUUACAACAAUUCAACUGUAAAAUGUACUGUUAAUUUUGUUAUAUAUUCUCAGUGUUUUUGCUUUUAGGCACUAUUUAUCUUUUCCAACUAUGGUUUUUAAAUUUGGUCAGACUAUGCUGCAUAUUUUCAAUUCCAAUGUUUAGCAUGUUCUCGGUUAUAUGAUAUAGUCUAAUUUUUAUUUUUGGCGUGUAACAGUAAUGAUAGAACCGGAUUGUGAUAUCAAGAUACAGGAUAUGCAUACGUAUUAUGAAGUGUUAAAGAUUUUAAGUAAAGAAAUUAGCUCCACUUUCUUACCUUAUAAAGACAAAGAGAAAGCUUUGAAAACGUACAAACAACUAGUUGAGUAUCAUGACGAUCACAUAUUAUGCUACCAUCAUCUUGUAUGCUAUCAAGAUAAUGGUUACUUCCAGUAGAAUAUUCUAAAAGCGUUCUAACUUAUUUUAGAGAAAGGAUGAAGUAGGAAAAUAGUUAUUUAAACCAAAUUGGGAAUAAGUGGUUCAAUUACAUUAAAGAACAUUUCUUUAAGAUCUUCCAGGAUGUCGUUUGUAUAUUGACCAAGUAUUUACACACAAUAUCCAAAGAAAGUAUAUUCAUUACUAAUUUCGAUGGGCAGGUAAAAUUUUUAUCCUACUCAACUUAUAACGAUGUUAAUGAUGCCAAUUUAUAAAAUAAACAAUUUAAGUAAAAAAGUAAAUAGAAUAUUGUUAUAUGCAUUUUGGCAAGUAACAAAUAAUUGAACAAAUAUAGUGUAAAGACUUCCUACUUAAAAUGUUUUUUUUUUAUAGAUUGACAUCAUUAAUAGCAACUUUCAUUUGUCUGUUAAAUGCAUCUAAAUCGGGUAAAAAAUUUACCCACACAUUAAAAUUAGUAAUGAAUAUUGACUUUCUCGAAUAUAGCGAGUAAAUACUUUCUUGAUUCAUAUACAAACAACAUUCUAACAGAUCUUACAAAAAUUUUCUCUAAUAUAACUGAAGCACAUAUGCUUACUUCAGUUUGAAUAACUAUUUUCUCACUUUAUUUUUUCUCUAAAAUAAGUUGUAACGUUUUUAAAACAUUCUACCACAAGCAACCAUUUAUCUUGGUGGUAUACAAUAUGAUAGCAACACAACAUGCGAUCGUCAUACUGCUCAACUAGCUAUUUGUACGUUUCCAAAGCUCCCUCUUUGUCUUUAUAAGGUAAGAAAGUAAAGCUAAUUUCUUUAAUUGAAAUCUUCAACACUCCAAUAUGUACACGUAUCCUGUACCUUGCUAUCUCAAUCUGAUUCCACUAUAGUUGUUGCAAACCAAAAAUAAAAAUUAAACAAGAUCAUAUAAUUAAGAACAUGCUAAACAUUGAAAUUGAAAAGAUGCAGCAUAGUCUAAACACAUUUAAAGACCAUAGUUGGAAAAUAUAAAUAGAGUCUAAAAGUAAAAAUAUUGAGAAUAUAUAACAAAAUUGACAUUACUUUUUACUGUAUUUAAUACGAAUUACAAAAACAAAUUUACACUGAUUAUAUAAUUUUUACAUAUUCCUUACCUAGUUUUAGUCGAUUUUGACUAUAUGAUUAAAGCUUCAAAUAAUUGAACACACAAAAAUGGCAAUACCCUACUCAUCUCACUCUCUAUGUUAAUGAUGUCCAUCUAUAAAAUAAACAAUUUAAGUAAAAAUUAAUAACAAAAGUAAAUAGAAUAUUAUAACACAAAAUAUUGAAAUCUUACUCCUAUUUUUCGUUGUAAUGACGAUAAAUAUUAGAGCAAUACUCAACUAAUUCACCCAUAGAAAACAUCUUAUGUAGGUAACCUUCAAACCGUUUCUGUUUAAUUGCUUUACGCUUCAAGAGAUGAUCUAGAUUUACAAUAAAACGGAACUUAUCUCCAAACUAAAGGAGCAUCCAAUAUAAACUCGUGACUCACGUGUUUCUAUCCAUUUGGACAUAGGCAAAUAAGUCAACAAAAAAUUUAUGAAAUUAAUGAAAUAGAACUUUUGAAUUAUCGAACUUUAAAAUAAAUAUAUGAAAGAUGAUAUCAACUUACAAGAUUUGAAAAUCGAGCUGAGUAAAAAAAGAUAACGAUUCAGACGUCAUAUUGAAAUUCUUAUAAUUUCGAAUAACAGAUCUAAACAACAAAUUGAUGAUGUAGUUUAUCAAAUAUUUGAACUCAUCAAUAACAACUCUCAUUUGUCUGUUACAUGCAUCUAAAUCGAGUAAAAAUUUUACUCGAGCAUGAAAAUUAGUAAUGAACAUAGACUUUUCCAAAUAUUGCGUGUAAAUACUUUGAUUACCUUUUUUUGCUCAUAUGCAAGCAACAUCCUGAAUGAUUUUACCAAAAUCUUUACUACUAUAACUGAACUACGUAUGCUCAUUUCUAUUUGAAUAAUUAUUUUCCCAUUUCUCCAUCUUUUCUCUUAAAUAAGUAAAACAUUUUUAGAACAUUUUACCGCAAGCAACAAUUUAUCUUUGAUAGUAUACAAGAUAAUGGCGGCACAAUAUGUAAUCGUAAUAAUGUUCAAAUAAAUGUUUGUACACUUUUAAAGCUUUCUAUUUUAUCUUUAUAAGCCAAAAAUGUAGAGUUAAUGCUUGAAAUCUUUAAUACUCCAUAUCCAGUAGUUUGAUAUUACAAUCCGAUUUCCCCAUAGUUAUUGUAAACCAAAAAUAAAAAUUAGACUAAAUCAUAUAACCAAUAACAUGCUAAACAUUAGAGUUGAAAAGAUGCAGUAUAAUCCGAUAGUGUUGAAAGACUAUAGACAGAGCUUAAAAGCAAAAAUAUUUAGAAUAUAUACAUACAUCUUAAGUUACAUACCACCUUGACUUCACCUGAUUAAUUGUUUUUUUUUAUUAGAACUAUAUAAAAUUUAGGUCAAUGUUUGGAACACCUACCAUCAACCACCUAAAUCACAUCCUCUUAAGUUACAUAUUUGUUUUUUAUUAGAACUAUACAUAAUGAAUACUGCUAACAGUAACUGUAUCUGAAUCAAUGAAUUAACAAUAACUAACCAACUCAACAGUUUAAUAGACUCGACUAAUCUAUUUAGCGAUGUUCUAGCAUUAAGCACUGAAACGAACUCGUAGCCGAAGAAUAUUAAACAAGUACAUUGGAAGUAUGGUACAUACAUAACGAGCAAACCAGUGGGACAGCGACGGAGCCGACUGAAGGCUGGAGCUGAGAAACUGACAGAGGAAGCGGGAGACUGACGGGCAGCGGCACUGGAGGUCACUGAGCGAGGUGGGGGGUGUCGUCUCUGUAAAUGUGUGAAUGGGUGGGUGGGGGAACUGAGGUUGCAGAAUUUGCAGAAGGAAGAGAAGCAAAAAGCACGAUGUUGUCCCUCAGAUCUCACCGGAGUUGGUGAGCGGCACUUAAGGGAAGGGGAAGGGGAAGGGGAAGGUGAAGGGGAAAGGGAAAGGGAAUUAGAGGAUCGGGGAGGGUAGGCGAGGGUAGGGUAGGGGAAUAAGGCCAAAGGGGUAUGUUAAAACUUUUAGGUUAAAAUAAUCGGCUAAAAUUUUCUAUUAGUCCCUGUAUUUUAUGACGUUUUUGGAUUCAGUCCCAAUAGUUUAAAUUGGGUAGGAGAG